AUGAUACAAUUGAUUCAAGAAUACCACCACAAACAAAAAGAUAAAACAGAUGAAUUUUAUACACAAUCAGGGUUGGGGAUAAUCCAUCAUCAUCCUGAACUUCAAAAUGACGACAUCUGGACUACAUCCUCACAAUGGUGUAGUACUGACACUUCAAACAAACUCAGAAAAUGGUUAAAAAAAGAAGCACUACUUACAACCAUCUCACAAGGAUAAUCAUCUGUGGGCAAACAAAAGACUAAAAGACUCAUUCUUGCUGGAAACAUUUGAAGUUCCUUUUUUUUUUUUUUUUUUUUUCUUUUUCUUUCUUCCCUUUUCCUGGCUUUAACUUAUUGAACUUUUUAGUUAAGGCAGCCUGAAGGCACUAAAUUACAGAUGGUGCUCACUCAUUCUAAAAUUGAAACCUUCCUCUUUCAAAAGGUAAUUGUUUCCAGUUGAUACAUGCAACAUGAAUUGGAUAAGUCAAUCAUUUCUUGAAUGAAAAUAGCUCUUAUAUUCUUGCAAAGUCAAACUCUGUCUAAGGAUCUCUUUGUCCUAAGAAAAGAAAUUGCAUGCUAUUUCCUUCCCUUAUGAUCUAACUUUGUGUCAACUCCCUCUAUAGUACCUUUGGCAGAAAAAGUAAAAGUAACAAAUGUUCCUUAUUAUUUAUAGUCCUUGAAUGUAAAAAUAAAAAUUUGAAAAAGGUAGAUUAUAUAUUUGAA
This 701-nucleotide long non-coding RNA is filed under the name Anas platyrhynchos platyrhynchos (common mallard). RNAcentral's name for it is "lncRNA (ENSAPLG00000018498.1)". Lineage: Eukaryota; Metazoa; Chordata; Aves; Anseriformes; Anatidae. The record is from RNAcentral.